Molecule: transfer RNA, 69 nt
Filed under: Gammarus lacustris
Lineage: Eukaryota; Metazoa; Arthropoda; Malacostraca; Amphipoda; Gammaridae
Description: tRNA-Val
Source: RNAcentral
GGCGUAUAAUAUUUUCACUUACAAUGAAAAAUACCCUUUGGGCGCUUUUAUAUUUUAAAAAAUAAUAUA